AACGAACGUUGGCGGCGUGGAUUAGGCAUGCAAGUCGUACGCGAAAGAGGGAGCAAUCCCUUGAGUAAAGUGGCGAACGGGUGAGUAACGCGUAGGAAACCUGCCUUCGAGAUGGGGAUAACAUUCCUAACGGGGUGCUAAUACCGAAUGACACUGCGAAAUCGCAUGGUUUUGCAGUCAAAGGUGGCCUCUGCUUGCAAGCUACCACUCGAAGAUGGUCCUGCGUCCCAUAGCUAGUUGGCGGGGUAAUGGCCCACCAAGGCGACGAUGGUAGCCGAUCUGAGAGGAUGACCGGCCACACUGGGACUGAGACACGGCCCAGACUCCUACGGGAGGCAGCAGUGGGGAAUAUUGGACAAUGGGC
RNAcentral lists this ribosomal RNA (364 nucleotides) under uncultured bacterium. RNAcentral's name for it is "bacterial SSU rRNA". It matches the Rfam family "Bacterial small subunit ribosomal RNA", at positions 29 to 376 of the family's 1533-position model. The record is from RNAcentral.